Molecule: transfer RNA, 76 nt
Filed under: Fidelibacterota bacterium
Lineage: Bacteria; Pseudomonadati; Fidelibacterota
Description: Candidatus Marinimicrobia bacterium tRNA-Pro
Rfam family: tRNA
About the family: Transfer RNA (tRNA) molecules are approximately 80 nucleotides in length. Their secondary structure includes four short double-helical elements and three loops (D, anti-codon, and T loops).
Source: RNAcentral
CGGGAUGUGGCCCAGUCCGGUUAAGGCACUCGCUUUGGGAGCGAGGGAUCGCAGGUUCGAAUCCUGCCAUCCCGAC